CCUACGGGGCGCAGCAGUGAGGAAUAUUGGUCAAUGGGCGAGAGCCUGAACCAGCCAAGUCGCGUGAAGGAUGACGGCCCUAUGGGUUGUAAACUUCUUUUGUCAGGAAGCAAUUGGGUCCACGCGUGGGCUUAGCGAGAGUACCUGAAGAAAAAGCAUCGGCUAACUACGUGCCAGCAGCCGCGGUAAUACGUAGGUGGCAAGCGUUGUCCGGAUUUAUUGGGCGUAAAGCGAGUGCAGGCGGUUCAAUA
Molecule: ribosomal RNA, 251 nt
Filed under: uncultured bacterium
Lineage: Bacteria
Description: partial 16S ribosomal RNA
Rfam family: Bacterial small subunit ribosomal RNA
Source: RNAcentral